GAUUCUUCUGCAGUGAUUCUACAUCACUUUCAUAAGUAAAAGAUAAUAUCCAUUUAAAAUGACCCCAAGGUUGAUACAUUUGGAAAGGAAGCAGAGCCAUCAAAAUUGGAAGUUCUCCUUAUUAAAUAUUUGUUGUAUUUAUAUCGUUUUUCGGAAAUUAUUCAUGCCAUUUAUCUUUCCUUUUAUAAUACAUUUUUAUGAACCAGGUCUCAUUAAAUACUGCUAAGUACUGUUUAAAAUCUUUAAAAUUCUUGGUGUGAGAUUGGUGAGUUAAUAAUUGCACCUUAAUAAAAUGAUUACAUUUUUGUUGCA
Molecule: long non-coding RNA, 312 nt
Filed under: Ictidomys tridecemlineatus (thirteen-lined ground squirrel)
Lineage: Eukaryota; Metazoa; Chordata; Mammalia; Rodentia; Sciuridae
Description: lncRNA (ENSSTOG00000031313.1)
Source: RNAcentral